CUACGGGGGGCAGCAGUGGGGAAUAUUGGACAAUGGGCGAAAGCCUGAUCCAGCCAUGCCGCGUGAGUGAUGAAGGCCCUAGGGUUGUAAAGCUCUUUCGCCAGGGACGAUAAUGACGGUACCUGGAUAAGAAGCCCCGGCUAACUUCGUGCCAGCAGCCGCGGUAAUACGAAGGGGGCUAGCGUUGUUCGGAAUCACUGGGCGUAAAGCGCACGUAGGCGGAUCUUUAAGGCAGGGGUGAAAUCCCGAGGCUCAACCUCGGAGCUGCCUUUGAUACUGGAGGUCUCGAGUCCGGGAGAGGUGAGUGGAACUGCGAGUGUAGAGGUGAAAUUCGUAGAUAUUCGCAAGAACACCAGUGGCGAAGGCGGCUCACUGGCCCGGUACUGACGCUGAGGUGCGAAAGCGUGGGGAGCAAACAGGAUUAGAUACCCCCGUAGUC
This 439-nucleotide ribosomal RNA is filed under the name uncultured bacterium. RNAcentral's name for it is "partial 16S ribosomal RNA". It matches the Rfam family "Bacterial small subunit ribosomal RNA", at positions 339 to 795 of the family's 1533-position model. The record is from RNAcentral.